GACGAACGCUGGCGGCGUGCUUAACACAUGCAAGUCGAACGCUGAAGCUCAGCUUGCUGGGUGGAUGAGUGGCGAACGGGUGAGUAACACGUGAGUAACCUGCCCUCUUCUUUGGGAUAACGCCCGGAAACGGGUGCUAAUACUGGAUAUUCACUGAUUCUCGCAUGGGGGUUGGUGGAAAGGUUUUUUCUGGUGGGGGAUGGGCUCGCGGCCUAUCAGCUUGUUGGUGGGGUGAUGGCCUACCAAGGCUUUGACGGGUAGCCGGCCUGAGAGGGUGACCGGUCACAUUGGGACCGAGAUACGGCCCAGACUCCUACGGGAGGCAGCAGUGGGGAAUAUUGCACAAUGGGCGAAAGCCGGAUGCAGCGACGCCGCGUGAGGGAUGGAGGCCUUCGGGUUGUAAACCUCUUUCGCUCAUGGUCAAGCCGCAGCUUUGGGUUGUGGUGAGGGUAGUGGGUAAAGAAGCGCCGGCUAACUACGUG
This 482-nucleotide ribosomal RNA is filed under the name uncultured bacterium. Its description in RNAcentral is "partial 16S ribosomal RNA". It matches the Rfam family "Bacterial small subunit ribosomal RNA", at positions 28 to 507 of the family's 1533-position model. The record is from RNAcentral.